UACGUAGGGGGCUAGCGUUGUCCGGAAUCAUUGGGCGUAAAGAGCGCGUAGGCGGCCAGAUAAGUCCGGUGUGAAAGUCAAAGGCUCAACCUUUGAAUGCCGCUGGAAACUGUCUGGCUAGAGUCCGGGAGGGGCGAGUGGAAUUCCUGGUGUAGCGGUGAAAUGCGUAGAUAUCAGGAAGAACACCGGUGGCGAAAGCGCUCUGCUAGGCCGCAACUGACACUGAGGGACGAAAGCUAGGGGAGCGAAUGGG
Molecule: ribosomal RNA, 253 nt
Filed under: uncultured bacterium
Lineage: Bacteria
Description: partial 16S ribosomal RNA
Rfam family: Bacterial small subunit ribosomal RNA
Source: RNAcentral